RNAcentral lists this unclassified non-coding RNA (396 nucleotides) under soil metagenome. RNAcentral's name for it is "partial contains 5.8S ribosomal RNA, internal transcribed spacer 2, and large subunit ribosomal RNA". The stretch from base 1 to 122 matches the Rfam family "5.8S ribosomal RNA", at positions 35 to 154 of the family's 154-position model. The record is from RNAcentral.
GAUGAAGAACGCAGCGAAAUGCGAUACUUGGUGUGAAUUGCAGAAUCCCGUGAACCAUCGAGUCUUUGAACGCAAGUUGCGCCCGAAGCCAUUUGGUUGAGGGCACGUCUGCCUGGGCGUCACAUAUCGUUGCCCGACGCCUAUUGCACUGUGAUAGGAAAUUCUAGGGCGAAAGAUGGCUUCCCGUGAGCGUUGUUGCCUCGCGGUUGGUUGAAAAUCGAGUCCUUGGUAGGGUGUGCCAUGAUAGAUGGUGGUCGAGUUUGCACGAGACCGAUCAUGUGUGCGCUCCCCAAAAUAUGUACUCUUUGACCCCACACGCGUCUUUUGAUGCUAAUGACGAGACCUCAGGUCAGGCGGGGCUACCCGCUGAGUUUAAGCAUAUCAAUAAGCGGAGGA